AUUGAACGCUGGCGGCAGGCCUAACACAUGCAAGUCGAACGGUAACAGGAAACAGCUUGCUGUUUCGCUGACGAGUGGCGGACGGGUGAGUAAUGUCUGGGAAACUGCCUGAUGGAGGGGGAUAACUACUGGAAACGGUAGCUAAUACCGCAUAACGUCGCAAGACCAAAGAGGGGGACCUUUGGGCCUCUUGCCAUCGGAUGUGCCCAGAUGGGAUUAGCUAGUAGGUGGGGUAACGGCUCACCUAGGCGACGAUCCCUAGCUGGUCUGAGAGGAUGACCAGCCACACUGGAACUGAGACACGGUCCAGACUCCUACGGGAGGCAGCAGUGGGGAAUAUUGCACAGUGGGCGCAAGCCUGAUGCAGCCAUGCCGCGUGUAUGAAGAAGGCCUUCGGGUUGUAAAGUACUUUCAGCGGGGAGGAAGGGAGUAAAGUUAAUACCUUUGCUCAUUGACGUUACCCGCAGAAGAAGCACCGGCUAACUCCGU
RNAcentral lists this ribosomal RNA (489 nucleotides) under uncultured bacterium. RNAcentral's name for it is "partial 16S ribosomal RNA". It matches the Rfam family "Bacterial small subunit ribosomal RNA", at positions 30 to 506 of the family's 1533-position model. The record is from RNAcentral.